Molecule: long non-coding RNA, 139 nt
Organism: Populus euphratica (Euphrates poplar)
Lineage: Eukaryota; Viridiplantae; Streptophyta; Magnoliopsida; Malpighiales; Salicaceae
Exons: 2
Source: RefSeq, a predicted model, not a curated record
AAGAAAGUUGUCGGUUCUUGUACGAUUUCAUUACCAAUUCAUGUAGCUUCCCCCGGGUAAAACCGAUGAACUGUGGAUGAAGACUGUGAAAUGAACUAGAAUCUUUGUUACUCUCAGUAUUAGCAACAGUCUGGGACUU